Molecule: long non-coding RNA, 832 nt
Filed under: Gallus gallus (chicken)
Lineage: Eukaryota; Metazoa; Chordata; Aves; Galliformes; Phasianidae
Description: lncRNA (ENSGALG00010022916.1)
Source: RNAcentral
AUCUACUCCCUGAAGCACCAUCUUCCUUUGAUUCUUUUCCAGUUGUGGGAUGCACUCCACUGGCUUGGCUGUGUAGUACACCAUUGGUUUUCUGCCAAGUAACAGCUCUGGGUGGAGAACAGAGAUACUUCUGCUUGUCUGCUCUGACAGGUGGUCUUGAAAAAAACAGGUCUCCAAGCUGAACUUUUAUUCUGACUCGAAGCGAAAAAAAAGAAAAAGAAAAGAAAAAGCCAGUCUUAACUUGACUCCUAGGGUCUGUUUUAUUUCAAUAGGGAAACAACUUACUAAUUAGGAUUAUUUUUAUUCACAAGACAGCAAGACGUAUGGUCAGCAGUCUGUAGUAUCCCAUUCUUCCAGGCUAUCAUUUACAUCACUGGAUGCCUGUCCUGGUCGGUGCACGCCCUCAACGAUAGACUCAGCGCGAGAGUGAUUUGACUUGAGUUGUUCUGCUCUUCUUGGAAUCACAGAUUGAUCCCACAAAAAAAACUUCUGGGGAAAACAGGCAGUUUCUGCAUAGCACUUGGUAUUCACCUCCCUAAAAACUGUACUCUGAGAGGGAAAGGUACACAGGCUGAGAAUCAAAGGAGAGGGCUCACACAAUGAGCUGAGCCUCUAAUAAAAAUGCACUGACACAGGUAAUGAUGGCUUGGAGAAGGACUGUUCUUACAGCUGGAUGCAGCGAGCAUCCUAACGAAUAGUAGAUUUUUUUUUAAUCUUUUUCUUUUACAUAAGGUAUCUUUUGGGAGGCAAAGUCCUAUACAUAAUUAAGGCAGUUUCUUUUUUAACCAGAUGCAUUGCAAUGUGUGCUCUCUAAACAAAAUAAAUAACCAUG